UAGGGAAUCUUCCGCAAUGGACGCAAGUCUGACGGAGCAACGCCGCGUGAGUGAAGAAGGAUUUCGGUUCGUAAAACUCUGUUGUUAGAGAAGAACAGCGCAUAGAGUAACUGUUAUGCGUGUGACGGUAUCUAACCAGAAAGCCACGGCUAACUACGUGCCAGCAGCCGCGGUAAUACGUAGGUGGCAAGCGUUUUCCGGAUUUAUUGGGCGUAAAGCGAGCGCAGGCGGUCAAUUAAGUCUGAUGUGAAAGCCCCCGGCUCAACCGGGGAGGGUCAUUGGAAACUGGUUGACUUGAGUGCAGAAGAGGAGAGUGGAAUUCCAUGUGUAGCGGUGAAAUGCGUAGAUAUAUGGAGGAACACCAGUGGCGAAGGCGACUCUCUGGUCUGUAACUGACGCUGAGGCUAGAAAGCGUGGGUAGCAAACAGG
This 429-nucleotide ribosomal RNA is filed under the name Bacteroidota bacterium. Its description in RNAcentral is "Bacteroidetes bacterium partial 16S ribosomal RNA". It matches the Rfam family "Bacterial small subunit ribosomal RNA", at positions 355 to 776 of the family's 1533-position model. The record is from RNAcentral. Lineage: Bacteria; Pseudomonadati; Bacteroidota.